GGGUUGUGAGGUUAAGCGACUAAGCGUACACGGUGGAUGCCCUGGCAGUCAGAGGCGAUGAAGGGCGUGCUAAUCUGCGAUAAGCGCCGGUAAGGUGAUAUGAACCGUUAUAACCGGCGAUACCCGAAUGGGGAAACCCAGUGUGACUCGUCACACUAUCAUUAACUGAAUCCAUAGGUUAAUGAGGCGAACCGGGGGAACUGAAACAUCUAAGUACCCCGAGGAAAAGAAAUCAACCGAGAUUCCCCCAGUAGCGGCGAGCGAACGGGGAGGAGCCCAGAGCCUGAAUCAGCAUGUGUGUUAGUGGAAGCGUCUGGAAAGGCGCGCGAUACAGGGUGACAGCCCCGUACACAAAAGCGCAUGUGCUGUGAGCUCGAUGAGUAGGGCGGGACACGUGGUAUCCUGUCUGAAUAUGGGGGGACCAUCCUCCAAGGCUAAAUACUCCUGACUGACCGAUAGUGAACCAGUACCGUGAGGGAAAGGCGAAAAGAACCCCGGCGAGGGGAGUGAAAAAGAACCUGAAACCGUGUACGUACAAGCAGUGGGAGCCCCACCACUAAGCCAGUGGUGAACUCCACAUACGCAUCCUUUGCUGAGGAUACGGUUAACGGAGCGAAAGCGACGUUCAACCGCAAAAGAAGCAGAGGGGGCUUAGUGGUGGGGUGACUGCGUACCUUUUGUAUAAUGGGUCAGCGACUUAUAUUCUGUAGCAAGGUUAACCGAAUAGGGGAGCCGGAGGGAAACCGAGUCUUAAUUGGGCGUUAAGUUGCAGGGUAUAGACCCGAAACCCGGUGAUCUAGCCAUGGGCAGGUUGAAGGUUGGGUAACACUAACUGGAGGACCGAACCG
Molecule: ribosomal RNA, 848 nt
Filed under: Salmonella enterica subsp. enterica serovar Bredeney
Lineage: Bacteria; Pseudomonadati; Pseudomonadota; Gammaproteobacteria; Enterobacterales; Enterobacteriaceae
Description: partial 23S ribosomal RNA
Rfam family: Bacterial large subunit ribosomal RNA
Source: RNAcentral